AAUGAACGCUGGCGGCAUGCCUAACACAUGCAAGUCGAACGAAACCAUCGGGACUAGUGGCGCACGGGUGUGUAACGCGUGGGAACCUGCACACAGGUUCGGAAUAACUCUCAGAAAGGGGUGCUAACACCGGACAAUGUCUUCGGACCAAAGAUUUAUUGCGUUUGGAUGGGCGAGCGUUGUAUUAGCUAGUUGGUAUGGUAAAAGCAUACUAAGGCGAGGAUCCAUAGCUGGUCUGUGAGGAUGGUUAGCCACACUGCGACUGAGACGCGGCCGAGACUCCUACGGGAGGCGGCAGUGGGGAAUAGUGGACAAUGGGCGAAGGGCUGAACCAGCUAUGCUGGGUGAGUGAUGAUGGCCUGAGGGUUGUAAUGCUCUUUUAACCGUGAUGAUAAUGACGGUACCGAGUGAGUAAGCUCCGGCUAACUCCGUG
This 433-nucleotide ribosomal RNA is filed under the name uncultured bacterium. Its description in RNAcentral is "partial 16S ribosomal RNA". It matches the Rfam family "Bacterial small subunit ribosomal RNA", at positions 29 to 507 of the family's 1533-position model. The record is from RNAcentral.